CACGUAGGGGGCAAGCGUUGUCCGGAUUUAUUGGGCGUAAAGAGCUCGUAGGUGGUUCGGUAAGUCGGAUGUGAAAUCUCCAGGCUCAACCUGGAGGGGUCAUUCGAUACUGCCGUGACUUGAGGUCGGUAGGGGAGUGUGGAAUUCCUGGUGGAGCGGUGAAAUGCGCAGAUAUCAGGAGGAACACCCGUAGCGAAGGCGGCACUCUGGGCCGAUACUGACACUGAGGAGCGAAAGCGUGGGGAGCGAACAGG
This 254-nucleotide ribosomal RNA is filed under the name uncultured bacterium. Its description in RNAcentral is "partial 16S ribosomal RNA". It matches the Rfam family "Bacterial small subunit ribosomal RNA", at positions 524 to 776 of the family's 1533-position model. The record is from RNAcentral.